This 449-nucleotide long non-coding RNA is filed under the name Nicotiana tabacum (common tobacco). Its description in RNAcentral is "long non-coding RNA (NTAB_LNC009960)". Lineage: Eukaryota; Viridiplantae; Streptophyta; Magnoliopsida; Solanales; Solanaceae. The record is from RNAcentral.
AUCAUAUACAUGUGACAUACGGGCCUAAUAGGCCAACAUAAUCAUUUAUAAACUCAAAACAUAGGCCGACAAGGCCGUACAAUCUUUCACGUACAAGAUAUAUGUCUACAAGCCUCUAAGAAUACCUAAAUGUCAUAUAGGUCGGGAUAGAGUCCCGCCAUACCAAACAAUACACAUCUAAAUCAUACUAACUAAACGAGCAACUCUGAAGCAAAUGGAGCGCACCAACAUCUUCCGCUGAGCUGAUAGCCUACUUGGAGGGCUCUCGACCUGUCUAUCAGGACCUGCGGGCAUGAAACGCAGCGUCCCCAGGCAAAAGGGACGUCAGUACGAAUAAUGUACCGAGUAUGUAAGGCACAUAAAUAAAUACAUAAAAGACAUGGAAGACAUAUAGAGUACAUGAAUCAACCUGUAAGUAUGAAUAACUUUGUAGAUCAUAGAUUACUUUU